Molecule: ribosomal RNA, 498 nt
Filed under: uncultured bacterium
Lineage: Bacteria
Description: partial 16S ribosomal RNA
Rfam family: Bacterial small subunit ribosomal RNA
Source: RNAcentral
GACGAACGCUGGCGGCGUGCCUAAUACAUGCAAGUCGAACGAGAGCAACCGGUGCUUGCACUGGUCAAUCUAGUGGCGAACGGGUGAGUAACACGUGGGUAACCUGCCCAUCAGAGGGGGAUAACAUCCGGAAACGGAUGCUAAAACCGCAUAGGUCUUCGAACCGCAUGGUUUGAAGAGGAAAAGAGGCGCAAGCUUCUGCUGAUGGAUGGACCCGCGGUGCAUUAGCUAGUUGGUGAGGUAACGGCUCACCAAGGCCGUGAUGCAUAGCCGACCUGAGAGGGUGAUCGGCCACAUUGGGACUGAGACACGGCCCAAACUCCUACGGGAGGCAGCAGUAGGGAAUCUUCCGCAAUGGAUGCAAGUCUGACGGAGCAACGCCGCGUGAGUGAAGAAGGUUUUCGGAUCGUAAAACUCUGUUGUUAGAGAAGAACAAGUGCUAGAGUAACUGUUAGCGCCUUGACGGUAUCUAACCAGAAAGCCACGGCUAACUACGUG